UUAAGUGACUAAGCGUACACGGUGGAUGCCUAGGCAGUCAGAGGCGAUGAAGGGCGUGCUAAUCUGCGAAAAGCGUCGGUAAGGUGAUAUGAACCGUUACAACCGGCGAUACCCGAAUGGGGAAACCCAGUGUGUUUCGACACACUAUCAUGUCAUGAAUACAUAGUGGCAUGAGGCGAACCGGGGGAACUGAAACAUCUAAGUACCCCGAGGAAAAGAAAUCAACCGAGAUUCCCCCAGUAGCGGCGAGCGAACGGGGAGGAGCCCAGAACCUGAAUCGGCUUGUGUGUUAGUGGAAGCGUCUGGAAAGUCGCGCAGUAAAGGGUGAUAGCCCCGUACACUAAAAUGCACAGGUCGUGAGUUCGAUGAGUAGGGCGGGACACGUGACAUCCUGUCUGAAUAUGGGGGGACCAUCCUCCAAGGCUAAAUACUCCUGACUGACCGAUAGUGAACCAGUACCGUGAGGGAAAGGCGAAAAGAACCCCGGCGAGGGGAGUGAAAUAGAACCUGAAACCGUGUACGUACAAGCAGUGGGAGCACCUUCGUGGUGUGACUGCGUACCUUUUGUAUAAUGGGUCAGCGACUUAUAUUUUGUAGCAAGGUUAACCGUAUAGGGGAGCCGUAGGGAAACCGAGUCUUAACUGGGCGAAUAGUUGCAAGGUAUAGACCCGAAACCCGGUGAUCUAGCCAUGGGCAGGUUGAAGGUUGGGUAACACUAACUGGAGGACCGAACCGACUAAUGUUGAAAAAUUAGCGGAUGACUUGUGGCUGGGGGUGAAAGGCCAAUCAAACCGGGAGAUAGCUGGUUCUCCCCGAAAGCUAUUUAGGUAGCGCCUCGUGAACUCAUCUUCGGGGGUAGAGCACUGUUUCGGCUAGGGGGCCAUCCCGGCUUACCAAACCGAUGCAAACUCCGAAUACCGAAGAAUGUUAUCACGGGAGACACACGGCGGGUGCUAACGUCCGUCGUGAAGAGGGAAACAACCCAGACCGCCAGCUAAGGUCCCAAAGUCAUGGUUAAGUGGGAAACGAUGUGGGAAGGCAUAGACAGCCAGGAUGUUGGCUUAGAAGCAGCCAUCAUUUAAAGAAAGCGUAAUAGCUCACUGGUCGAGUCGGCCUGCGCGGAAGAUGUAACGGGGCUAAACCAUGCACCGAAGCUGCGGCAGCGACGCUUAGGCGUUGUUGGGUAGGGGAGCGUUCUGUAAGCCGUUGAAGGUGGCCUGUGAGGGUUGCUGGAGGUAUCAGAAGUGCGAAUGCUGACAUAAGUAACGAUAAAGCGGGUGAAAAGCCCGCUCGCCGGAAGACCAAGGGUUCCUGUCCAACGUUAAUCGGGGCAGGGUGAGUCGACCCCUAAGGCGAGGCUGAAAAGCGUAGUCGAUGGGAAACAGGUUAAUAUUCCUGUACUUGGUGUUACUGCGAAGGGGGGACGGAGAAGGCUAGGCUAGCCGGGCGACGGUUGUCCCGGUUUAAGCGUGUAGGGGGUGUGACCUGGUAAAUCCGGUUGCAUAUCAACCCUGAGGCGUGAUGACGAUGCACUACGGUGCAGAAGUAGUUGAUGCCCUGCUUCCAGGAAAAGCCUCUAAGCUCCAGGUAACAUUAAAUCGUACCCCAAACCGACACAGGUGGUCAGGUAGAGAAUACCAAGGCGCUUGAGAGAACUCGGGUGAAGGAACUAGGCAAAAUGGUGCCGUAACUUCGGGAGAAGGCACGCUGGCAUGUAGGUGAAGUCCCUUGCGGAUGGAGCUGAAGCCAGUCGAAGAUACCAGCUGGCUGCAACUGUUUAAUAAAAACACAGCACUGUGCAAACACGAAAGUGGACGUAUACGGUGUGACGCCUGCCCGGUGCUGGAAGGUUAAUUGAUGGGGUCAGCCGCAAGGCGAAGCUCUUGAUCGAAGCCCCAGUAAACGGCGGCCGUAACUAUAACGGUCCUAAGGUAGCGAAAUUCCUUGUCGGGUAAGUUCCGACCUGCACGAAUGGCGUAAUGAUGGCCAGGCUGUCUCCACCCGAGACUCAGUGAAAUUGAACUCGCUGUGAAGAUGCAGUGUACCCGCGGCAAGACGGAAAGACCCCGUGAACCUUUACUAUAGCUUGACACUGAACAUUGAGCCUUGAUGUGUAGGAUAGGUGGGAGGCUUUGAAGCGUGGACGCCAGUCUGCGUGGAGCCAUCCUUGAAAUACCACCCUUUAAUGUUUGAUGUUCUAACUCGGCCCCAUAAUCUGGGGUGAGGACAGUGUCUGGUGGGUAGUUUGACUGGGGCGGUCUCCUCCCAAAGAGUAACGGAGGAGCACGAAGGUUAGCUAAUCACGGUCGGACAUCGUGAGGUUAGUGCAAAGGCAUAAGCUAGCUUGACUGCGAGAGUGACGGCUCGAGCAGGUACGAAAGUAGGUCUUAGUGAUCCGGUGGUUCUGAAUGGAAGGGCCAUCGCUCAACGGAUAAAAGGUACUCCGGGGAUAACAGGCUGAUACCGCCCAAGAGUUCAUAUCGACGGCGGUGUUUGGCACCUCGAUGUCGGCUCAUCACAUCCUGGGGCUGAAGUAGGUCCCAAGGGUAUGGCUGUUCGCCAUUUAAAGUGGUACGCGAGCUGGGUUUAGAACGUCGUGAGACAGUUCGGUCCCUAUCUGCCGUGGGCGUUGGAAGAUUGAGAGGGGUUGCUCCUAGUACGAGAGGACCGGAGUGAACGCACCACUGGUGUUCGGGUUGUCAUGCCAAUGGCAUUGCCCGGUAGCUAAGUGCGGAAAAGAUAAGCGCUGAAAGCAUCUAAGCGCGAAACUUGCCUCAAGAUGAGUCUUCCCUGGGCUUUUAAGGCCCCUGAAGGAACGUUUAAGACUAAGACGUUGAUAGGCUGGGUGUGUAAGUGCAGCGAUGCAUUGAGCUAACCAGUACUAAUGAUCCGUGAGGCUUAACCUU
Molecule: ribosomal RNA, 2906 nt
Filed under: Serratia marcescens
Lineage: Bacteria; Pseudomonadati; Pseudomonadota; Gammaproteobacteria; Enterobacterales; Yersiniaceae
Description: bacterial LSU rRNA
Rfam family: Bacterial large subunit ribosomal RNA
Source: RNAcentral